Molecule: ribosomal RNA, 443 nt
Filed under: uncultured Pseudanabaena sp.
Lineage: Bacteria; Bacillati; Cyanobacteriota; Cyanophyceae; Pseudanabaenales; Pseudanabaenaceae
Description: bacterial SSU rRNA
Rfam family: Bacterial small subunit ribosomal RNA
Source: RNAcentral
CCUACGGGUGGCAGCAGUGGGGAAUUUUCCGCAAUGGGCGAAAGCCUGACGGAGCAAUACCGCGUGAGGGAGGAAGGCUCUUGGGUCGUAAACCUCUUUUCUCAAGGAAGAAAAAAAUGACGGUACUUGAGGAAUAAGCAUCGGCUAACUCCGUGCCAGCAGCCGCGGUAAUACGGAGGAUGCAAGCGUUAUCCGGAAUGAUUGGGCGUAAAGGGUCUGUAGGUGGUACUGAAAGUCUGCUGUUAAAGAGCAAGGCUCAACCUUGUAAAAGCAGUGGAAACUACAGAACUAGAGUGCGGUAGGGGCAAAAGGAAUUCCUGGUGUAGCGGUGAAAUGCGUAGAUAUCAGGAAGAACACCGGUGGCGAAAGCGUUUUGCUAGACCGCAACUGACACUGAGGGACGAAAGCUAGGGGAGCGAAUGGGAUUAGAUACCCCAGUAGUC